GUUUCCUCCCGAGUUUUUUUUUUUUUUUUGAUAUCUGUUGGACAACGGUAUGGAAUCGCGUUCGACGAGGGGGAUAGAUAAAGGGAUAUAGGGUUUAGGGUUAGAUUGAGCGUGAUUAAGUGUUUUUCUUUUUCUUUUUUUUUUAUAUCGGAUGGAUGUACUGUCGAGGAGUAGCCGGGGUGGGAUGAGGAGAGUAGAUAGGGAAGGGAAAUGGAAGAGAUGUUGUGACAUCGUUCGGGACAUGUGUGUAAUGGGUAAGCGUGAUCCGACUACGGUGUUCGUAGGAAUAGAGGAGUGGCUAGGAAAUAUCCUUGCGAUUGGGAAUCGCGGCGAUGACGAGUUUGAGUUGGGUCAGGGAUCCGAUGCGGGAUCUUUGGAUGCGUGCAAAGCGUGAUUGCGGUUUUGGAGGGAGGGUAUUGGUUUUUUCUUUUUUUUCUUUUUGCGUUUGUCAAGUGUCUAUUGUUCAUGGUGUGGUAGUUGAUUGUGAUUCGAAUAACGAUAGUUGAAUUUCGGUAGUAGAAUAUACUGUUAUAUAGUGUUUCGAGAUUUGGUAAAUACAUUUUUUAAAAUUCGUUUAUGAAUUUUUGCUUAUGAUAUGUGAUUAUUUCUUUAGAUUAAUUAAAAAUAGUAGUAAAUUUAUUUUUGUUUUGUCUUUAUUAAGAUUUAUCGAAUAAAAGGUUUCCUUUUAUUUUAAUUUUCAUUAAUCUUUCGUCUUGAAAUUUAUUAAAAUUCAUUUACUUUUUUCAGAUAGAAAUUUAAACAGAAUUAUAAUUUAAUUAUUGUUAGAAAUUGACAACUAGUUUAGAACAAAUCAAUUCGUAGCGGAUAAGUUAUUGGACGGAGCACUAAUUAAUAUUACUAAUUAAAAUAUCGUUUAUUAUUCGUAGAUGUGAAUAGAAACAUCUUGAAAGCCAGCCAAGUGGUUCCAUUUUUGUGAGCGGAAAUGCUUUUAAAAUAAAAAGUAUACGCGGAACUGUCUGAUUCAUUGGUGAUUGUCAAAAAAGAGAAUCAUCAUCUUGCGUAUAAUAAAUCUUGUGGCUGAAUAAUUUCAUCAAUAAUUUAAAUGUUAUUAAGAAAAUUUUAAUCUCUGAUAGGAAUAAUCAAAAUUUUAUUGGAAUAAAAAUACGCCGAUCGUUUAAAACACUUUUGUCUUUGUGCGAGUUGCAGUUUAUCAUGAUUUUUAUCUUGAUCGGUCGCAGAAUACGAUAUGCAUUUCCGUAUUCCAUAAUAGCGCAAGGCACACCAUUGUCCCUUUUCUUUUGUUAAGAAAGAAAAACGAUUUUCCACUUGCAAUCGCUAGAUAUUCUUUUUUUCUUUUUCGCAUAACACUGCAAUAACACUGUGACGCGAUCAUUAAUUUUUUAAUAAUUUUUAAUUUUUUACAAUUUCUCUUGCAAGAAUUUCUAUUUUAUUCGAACAUUCAAUGUUUCUUCGUUAGCUUUUCUUCUCUUUCAAUUUCCAAAUUAUCUCACUAUAAUUAUAUUUUCAUAAAUCAAUCUCAAUGAAAUAUUCAAAAACUUAUUAAACGGUUCAUCAAUUUAAAGAAUAUCGUUACACUCCUAUACUAGUUUUCUUUAAAAAAUUACGUUGUUUCUUCCGCUAGCAAUGAUACAAAUGUGCAUUACGCACACGGUACUCAUGAAUAAAUGAUUCGACGAUGCCAAGUUAUCCGAAACGUUUCUGAAAAUAAUUUUCGAGGCAAACAAUAUGAUUUAAGGUAACCCUCACUUGUAACAAACUUGAUUUCUUUUCCUAUUCUAGUUUAUAAUAAAGUUUCCUGAAUUUUGCCUCUUUUCUCGUUUCCCCCCUUCUCUCUCAUCCUGCUUUCACGUUUCUUCCAAUGGAUCGAAAUCGAGAUGAUAUAAUUUAUGCAAACCUUGUGAAACAUGGAGUUGUUGUAAUAUUCAAUUGAAUGGACACGAUGGACAGUGGUUUUGCUUUGUCGCGUAAUAUUCACGCAAAACAGUGAUCUCCUGGUGAGUGAAAACUUGUUUUUUAAACAACACGAUCUCCUUUACUUGAUUUCGUUACCGAUUCCUAUGCUUUUACUUGGAUAAUGAGGUCUAUUUGUAAUGAAAUGUUGAAAAAUUCUUUUCUAAAUUGGAAAAAUAUACGCAGUGCAUUAAUUAACCCCUGUCUGAUACGUUAAAAUUGUAAAAAUAUCAGAAAGGAUGGUAGGAAUAUGAGAUAGAAAUAUAAAAUUAAAUUAAAUGAUCGAUCAUAUUAUUAUUCAAAACGUAAUAUUUCCUUUUAUUUUUUACUUGUAAAAAUCAUAUAGAUUUUUGUUCAUAAUAUAAAUGUAAUUCGAUUACUCUUGAUCAUCCUUGAAUCCUUCCUGACAAAUCAUUUUUGAACUUUUACACUCAUCGACAACCGCACAAUGGAAGAAAGAAAACAUUGAUCCUUUGGUUGAUCAAUCGUUUAAAAACCUUGUAUUUCGAAGACUGCAUUAUAAUCAUCCAAGAUUGGAACAAAGAGCAAUCGAAUUUCAUUAUACGAAGAUCAGAACAAUGGGUAUCGACGAAUUUCAUUGGUAUAGGUCCGAUCGAGGAAAUUAUACAGGAGAAUCUGUGAAUCAUCCAGCUUUUCGACCCUUUUUUCCAUUCUCGAAAAUUUCUUCUUAGCCCAUUCUCGAUCCUCAAUCGAGUUUGUCGAACGCAAUUCCGAAUGCAAAUCAACUUCAGCCUUAAGAAUAAUCGCUUUAUAAAUUCGAUUUAAUUCGAAUAUUUCGAAUGACUCGUAACAAUAAUCCUUCAAAAUGUAUAAAUCAAUAGAAAAUUGAUGAUUAGAAAUACAGUCAUACACAUUGAUUUCAUAUUAAUUUGUUCUAAAAGAAGAGAGUACAAGUCGAAAGAGACGUAAGGAAUAGAGAUGAAGUACAAACGCGUGUAGAUAUCUAUGUGUAGAUAUCUAUGUGUGUAAAGAUAUGUUUUAGAUAAUUGUUAAAAGUUUUUAAGUGAGAUUUUGUAAAAAAUGAAGCAAGAAGGUGCAAAUUAAAAUACAGAGAAUAAUGUUUACUUUUUGCAAAAUUAAUGUAAUAAAUUUAAAUUAUUUUUAAAUAUAAAUUAUAGCAAUAAAAUAUCAUUCAAAAUGUAUAAAUUGAUGAUAAGAGAUAAUUUUUUGCAAAAUAUAAAUUUAAAUUCUUUUUUUUUUUUUAAGUAAGAAACUUAUUAAUUAUAAUUUUGUUGAAGGUGAUAAUAGAAAUAAUUAAUAUUCAUAAGUGCAUGAUUUAAAUAGUUGCAAUAACUAUCAUCGAUUGAUUGUGUGCAAAUUAAUGGAAAGAAAUUUAUUCUGUUAGUUACUUUGUUUUACUCAUUCUUAGUGACUCAUUUCUAGAACAUUAUGAUAAUUGUUAAUUUAAUGAUAUUUUUUUUCUAAUCUUUGAUUAGAUAAAGUUUAUAUUAUUAGUAAAAAUUUUCUAAAUAUUUUGUAUUUGGAUAUAUAGAUUCAAAAAUUUCUGUGUGUAUAUUAUAUAUUUAAUUACGCGUGAUAAAAUUCCGAAUUAUUGUCGAUUGACUAGCCGGUAAAUCGUUGUUAUUAGCACGAAAUUGAUUAAUACAUACAUUUUUGCCUUAUCAGUGUGUUUGCAACACGUGCUGUCUUUUUUUUUUUUCAUAGAGAUUAUUUCAUGGAACAAUUUGUUAUAUAUUAAAAAGUAUUCGAUUCUUCCUUUUUUUCUGGAAAUUCGAAAAAAUAUUUUAGAAGAAAAUGAGAUAAGUCUGUUACACAAAUUAUCAAGUCUCUUUUCAAUUAAAAAAUUUUAAUUAAAUGAAACAAAGUAAAUAAUGAAAUCGCGGAAAUAUAUCGAAUUGUUAGAGAAUUAAUGGAGAAUAAUUUUUUCGAUGUAAAAUAAUGUAAAAUUUUAUUUUUACAUUAUUAUAACAAAUUUGGACUAAUAUUUUUAAAUUGGAAAACUAUAUCCCACAAGAAAUUUGAUACAUAAAUUUCCAAAUCGAUUCAACUUUCGAACAACACUCAAGAUAACGCAUUUAAAAUUACUUCAACAAAACAAAAAAUCCUCAAACUAUAAUCACAAAUCUGUCAAAACAUCAUAUUAAAAUUAUAUUAUACAUUUACAAAAUAAUUAUAUUCCAUUCUUAGAAAUCGAUUUAAUUCGUUAAUUCGUUUCUUUCUUGAAGUUGCUCGAUACAACCUCGAUUCGGCUGCAUUUAAAUAGGUUUUAGGGCCGAAUUAAUGCAAAUGCAUUCGACGAUGCUAUCGUCGGGUCAACUGUAGGGUCAGGAAAAAAAGAGGCGCACGUCUUUACCCCUUUCGGUUGAAAUAAAACGUCGAACAGACCACAACACUGCCCCCCCUUUCUCUCUCUCUCUCUCUCUCUCUCUCUCUCUCUCUCUCUCUCUCUCUCUCCAAUCUGCGAUCCCUCUCCUAUUUUCAUUCAAAAUACCUUCUUUCGUUUUCGUCGAUUCACAUUUGGCUCACGUCCAACUCGAAUGGAAAGACUUUCAUUCAUCGUCAAUGGAGCUACUCGAUCGCGACCUGGUUUUCUGUUUCGAAAAAUCGGAUACAUGAAAAUGGGUUCUUGGAAAAUUUGCGCGGAACGAUAAAGCAUGAAUCGGAUAAUAAUAAUCGUUUCGAUAUAAUUUCAAUAACUUCCACGUGUUUCGUGCAUGUUUCGCGCGUGUUUUGUUUACGUUUUCGACACGUGAACGAGUUUAAGAGAAAUAUCUCGAGGAACGAAAUUGUAAGAAUUUCAAAUGGUGUUUCGAUUCCGCGAAUUUUAUUAUUUACAUUGUGCGAUGAUGGAGGAAGGGAAAUUUUCAGGACGAGAUUAUGACGGAACGAGGAAUAUGAAAAGUAGACGAUGGAUAAAGGAAAAUAUUGCAAGAAAGUUAAAAAUUUGCGAUAAUGAUGAUUGUAUUUAAUGAAUUUUUUAUAUUUUUUGAUGUAUCGUAAGAGAAUAAGAGAAAUUGAUUCGUUUGUUUCGUUAAAGAAUCGAUUCCUUUCAAAAUCAUCUUAACACUGUGCCAUUCGUUUUAUCAAAAUCUUUAAACACAAUUGUAUGUUAGCACGUACAAGAAAAAUAAUUAAAUCAAAUCCAGAUAAAUUUAUUCAAAUUAAAAAUCAUCCAAGGGAUAAAAAUUAAUUAAUAAAAGGAUAUUGAUUUAUCGAAGGUUCAUAGACGUAUUUAAAAUUCAUUUUAUGAUUUAGGUUUGGAUAAUAAGAUCCUUUGUUUCGUUCUACGAUUUAUUUUGAUUCACAAGAAAUCGAUUUGCUUCCAAAGAAACGGUCAAUUUCUCGAAGGAAUUUAUUAUGGGGAUUUUAUCACGUUACCGAUGCACCAGCACGUGUCGAGGCGUUUCUCAUUUGCGAUUUUUGCAUUUCUCAGCCAGUCAGAUAGAUGAUUUAAAUACGUUUCUCGUGAAAUCAUCUUAUUAUUUCCACCUUUCUUUAUUUGUUCUGCUCGCGUCGAUGAAUUUUCGAAGAAGUCACGCGUGGAUAAGAUAAAAUGGAAAUAAUUACAAAUUUAUGGUUCGUUUGCGAUAAAUUAAUUGUGAUUGUGAGAUUCUAAAAAAUAUUUGAUUAUCGUAUGCAGACCAAUUUUGCAAUUUGUUAUUAAGGGUGAAUCAUCAUAGUGGCACGAAUUUUCUAUUUUUUUUUAAAUAUUAUAUUAAUCUUUCAAUUUUCUUUUUAUGAAGAAUAAUUUAUAGUAUUAUUUUUGUCAAAGUAAUUUUUCUUUUCUUUUUUAAUUUAUUUAUUUCAACAAUAAAUUUUAAUUUUGUGAAUUGAUUCGAAACGUUGUUCCUAAAUUUUAAUUCAUUAUUUCAUUAUUUACAUUUCAAUUUUAUAUUAUUCUCAAUAAUAUUAUACAAUUAUAUUAUUAUCUUUUACAAUUUCUAAAAUUUCUAAUUCCAAACACAUUCCAAGAUUAAAAAAAGAAGAAUCAAAUUCUAUCUCUAUUUGUCUUUACAAAUUCAAUUAUUUUAUCUUUCUAUCUAAAUUUAAUAGUUUCAAAUGAAUGAUCACGGAUGCUUUAUCCAUUAUUUAUGUACAAUUUUAAGUAAUAUCCUCUUCCGUAUAUUCUAAUUCCAUUCUGUAUACAUGAAAGAAAUUAAAAAUUAAAAAAGGAAGAAGAGAAAAAAUCCUCAUUCACCUCUAUCAAUUAAACCUUAAAAUUCUCCCUGCUUGAUUUAAUAAUCUCAGUGGACAGUGACACUACACAGCCACCAGACACUUUAUCUACUUUAGACGGUCGAAGAACCUGCACCACGAGCAAAGUUAGAAAAGAUUUAUCCCCUAUGGAGUCAUCCGCCUCCCAGGCAACAACAUUCCUCGAAAGGAGCGUAUUCGUUAUAAAGUGACGGUACGAGCAAGACCCUUCCUUGGCCGAUACGAAGAAUUUUGCAAGAAAAAGGAACAAUUCGAUCGUGCUGGGAUCCACGAAACGCAUCACCUGGCCGCGCCUAAAGAAACCAUCUGAUCAAUCCUCUUUUCAUUUCGUUGCCACCCUCUAAUUCUAAUAUCGUCUAUCGAUCCUGUCGACUCAUUCCUCCCUCUCGAGUUCAUCGUUCCUUUUCACCUCUUCUCUCGUGACAACGACUCGAAAAAGUCGACAGAAUGUCUUUUGUACGAUGAAAAAUGGUGCAAUAGUGAUUUCAUUAGGAUGGAAUAGAGCAAAUGAAAUAUAUUCUCCUCUCUUGUGAUUCUUAUAAAAUCUUGAUUUAGUGAGACGUUUAAUGGUGUUAAAUAAUGAUUAAUGUUACUUUCGAAAGAGCUUAAAUUAGAGAAAGAAAGAGUACUUAUUUGUAGUUGCUUUAGAAUAUUAUUUUUUUUCUAUUUGUUAUAUUUAUUAUGUUUAUAUUGUCGCGACUUAUAUUGGAUAAUAAGUAUAGUAGAUUUUUAAUUAUUUCCAAUGUUUCUUUCGUCUCGUGUUACUUUCAUCCUUACUUUCUCUCUUAUACCUUACAUUUUGUAUAUUCUGGAAGUCAAAUAAUCCGAUUCAUUAGUUAUAAGAAACGUCUGCAAUCUGUCUGUCCAGUUAUAAUGAAUCAACAUCCUUCUUUGUGGGAAGAAGGAUGUCUUUCAUAUAAUUAUCCAGUUUCACUAGUUACGCCGCAAUGUAUCGGCGUCUUUGUGAUUAUAUUGCUUUUGUGAAUCAUUGAGUAACCGCAAUUGUGGAUUCUUAAUAAUUUUUUUUUAUUACGAUGCAUAUUUAUCGUUUAUCUUUUUCGAAGAAAUUAUUAUCUCAUACUUUUUUUGUAAUAUCUCGUUUAUUUAUCGAUUAUCGGAUAAAUGAUAAAUAAUUUUCACAAAUAAUCUACUUCUUGUAAAUUUAGUGGCUUAAUGAUAAAAGAAAUAAUAGGAGAUUAUAUUUGAUUAGUUUUUGUUUAAUAAGUUUUUUUCAAAGUUUAUUUUAAUCAAUGAUUGUAUAUUAAUUUCUGCAAUCUCUCGAUAUAGUGACUAAUAUGAACGUAGUCAUUGACGAUAUAAAAAUGAUAACACCAGUUUAUUACCAGUUUUAUUAGGAAACAUAAAAAAAAGCAAAUAUUGCAAAAAUUUAUUACUCAUAUUAUAUCUCGCCAAUUAGAAUAAUAAUAAUAAAAAAAACGUCAUUAAUUUAAAUAUACAACAAUCAAGCGUCCAUUAUAUUUCCUUUCCUCAAUUAUAAUAAUUAAUCUCUAUUCUCCAUACAUUCAGCAUCCUUCUAACUUACAUAUUUCUUCGUUUAUUCAAUCAUAUUAUCGCUACUUCGUCAUUAGAUAUUUUUAUUAAUCACGAUUCGCGAAAAAUCUCGUAUUCUUCCAAGAAAACCCAUAACUCUAACUAAUUCCUGCAAUAAAUUUCACUCAAUCGAAUAGUCUAUGAAUAUCAUUACAAAUUCACCUUCGAUGCAUAAUCCAACUUCAUACUUUACUUGUUGCACGAUGAAAAAAAAAAGAACGAGGGGAGCAAUGGAUGAAUCGCUGAUUCAUCCAUCAACGAUUAUGGCAUCGAUUCUUCCGGUUUCGCGAGCGACUCACGAAAGGAAGUUCACAUGCCUUCGAUUUCCCUUUCCUUUCGACAAAAUUCAAUCGCGGUUAAAAACCACAGGCACGUGCAGUCUCAAUUGUUUCACAGAGAUCACGAUUUUUCUUUUUUCAGAAGAGGAAAAUUUUUUUCGGGUGGAAAGGAACGCGUGUACGUCAAAAUAGGAAGAAAAAGUUACAAUAAGAAUUACGUUCUUGCAAUCAGAAAAGAGUAAAAUGAUGAGGAAAAUGAGAAGAAAUUUUUAAUUUGAUAUUAGUAGUAAAAUUAUUAACUUGAUUUUCAUAUUUUUGUUUUUUUAAAUAUUGAGCAUCUUCUAUUCUUCUAACUUUUGUGUUUUUAUAUCUUAUUUAAUCUUUUUUUUUUUUUUUUUUUUUUUUACAUCCCAUUGGCAUCUAAGAGAAUUACACACAUGUACAACGGCUUAUCGUAACGAGAAAUCUAGUCUAGAGCCAGGAUUGCAGGAAAUUUGUUACAAUUAAAUAAUUGGUUUGUGACAGAGAAUUCAUUUUACUCCAUGGAAAUUCCUUCAGUCAACGAUGUCAAUUCGAUUUCUAUUCUUCUUCUUGGAUCUUACGUCAUAUAACUCGAUGGAAAAUUUCCAUUGACUCGUUGACAAGGGAAAAUCAAUUAGCUGGUUUCGAGAUUGGAUAAUUUCCACGUUUUCCUUCCGCGUUACGAUAAAAAAAUGGAGUUGUUGCCUCUAGAGUUACGUUUCCAUGUAAUCCUUUUUGAUGUCAAUUAACUAAUAACUACACGAGUUACAUGAAUUUAGUUUUCAAUCUGUGGUAUUGUUUGGUUGAAAUUAUAAAAGAUGAGGAGGAACGAUAUGAAUUGUUUGUCUCGAAAAAUCGCUCGUUGAUUUGAAUCUGCUUUAAAAAUAUUUGAAACUCUUGGAAAAAUAAAGAAUUAGAAAUAAUUGUGAUAUAUUAUAUUAGAACUAAUUCGGAAAUAUGUUCGAAAAAAAGGUUAUAAGAUUUAAAAAGCUUUCGAUAUUUGAUUCGAUAUAAAAUAAAAUGUAACAUUUGGAUGAUGCUAACAUGACUUGAUGAUAACAUAACUUGACGAUAGAUAAAAAAUUUCUCUCAUUAUAUUCCAACAAACAUCACUUUCGACGCCACUUUUAUCCAUUACUUUAAAUUAAACUAUUUAAACUCGAGUAAGAUUUAUCUAAUUCGAACAAGAUUUUCGUCCUACUUCUUCGUGAAAAUAAACGUUUCCUCGUGAUCUCCGUCCUUCCCUAUCGUGACAUUUCGCCCAGACCGCUAAUAAAUAAUUCCUAUGCAAGGAUCGGCCGCGUGUAAUUAUGCGCAAGGUUUGCAGGAUGCAUCGUACAUACAUUUUCUCUUCCAGGUUCGAUUGAAAUGCAUCGCGAUGAAUGAUCCGCAAAGGCCGACAUACCCGGCCGACAAGAGAUCUGUACUGGCCUACAAUGGCGAAUUUUUUCCGAUAACGAAUGCACCUUGCCUUCGUUGCAUCGUCGAAAAUGCGUCACCUUUUAGCAUCGUCUUCUCACAACUUGAGACCGAGUGACUCACAAUACCAAUAAGUUUCGUUCCUUUUUUCCUCCCUCUUCGUUCCGUUUCCUUUGUCUUCUUUUUCUUCUCCUUUUUUUCUUUAUUAUACUCGUGGAAGAUUUUAUUUUAUUUUAUUCUUUAUUUUUUUUACGGAAUCGGUGACGAUAUCCAGGGAUACUGCUCGAAUCUCUGGAUGCGUGGAUCGUUCAGGAAUUUGAAACUCGAUUGUAAGGAUCAAUGAUUCAGUCUGAAAUCACGACUUGCAUCGAUUCCUAUCGAUGCUGAUUAAUCGUUUGAGGCUAGCACUUUUGAUUAUUUAGAACUGAUAUCGAUGGUUUUAAUCGUAUUAACAUACAUCGUCAAGAUAUAUGAGAGAAGUUGCGCAAGUUGUGACUACGUUAGAUAAUUUUAGAUACAGGUAAUUCUGUUUAUAAUUAACUGUUAAUAAUUUUGUUUAAAAUUUUCUUACUUUUUAAAUAAUAAAUUUUAUCGAUAAAUUUUAGAAUAUUUAAAAAAAAUUCGUAUUCUUCGAAAAUUAACGAAAAUUAGAUUUAAUAUGUGCUUCUUCAGUCAUGAAUACGUGUAUACUUACGUAACAAAGAUAAUUAUGAUCGUCAAAUAGCAAUUUUUAUAAAUUAUAGAAAAAUAUCGAUUCGUAUCGAAUAUUUUUCCUUAUCAUUAUUUUCAUAACAUAUUAUUCUUUUUUUUUCCUUUCAGAAAAUGUUAUUUCCGGUAAAUAUGAUCGAUCACAGAUGAUUCAUUCAUUAAAUAAUUUUCCAAUUUAGAUAUUUUUUAAUUUUUUUUUAUCAUAAUCCGUACAGAUUUUUUUAUAAAAUAAACUCUAAUAUUGUUGUGUCAAUUAAUCUUGAUUUAUCGGUUCGUAAAGUUUAUGAUAAUUUUUAAUUUUCAAUUUCGAAAUUAUGAUAAUAAAAAGAGGAAUUAUGUAAAGUGGAAUGGAAACUGUUCUUCACAUUGUGCAAGAAAGACUUAAAUAUCUUGAAGUUAUUCAUGAAUAUAAUUUAUGCAAUAGAAACUUUACUUGUCUGGAAUAGAAUCUAAUGCAUGCAAAAUUAUUAACAAGUUGCUACGUUGUACAAACAAUAACGACAUUGUUCCUUCCAUCUAUAUCUCUUAACUCGUCUCUAAAAGGAAUAGGAAAUGAGAAAAAUGGACAGGAAACAAGGGAGAAAUAAAUGUGUAAAUAAGCAGAGCAAUGGAUAAGUGGAGAAAUGGGGCGAAUGAUAGAUACAAUAAUAAGAAAAGUGGGUGUAAAGUAGAGGAAAAUUGUCCGCAAUUCAACGAAAUUCUUCCAGGAUACAACUUAUCCACGCUGGUUAAAAUAUGAUUCACAGAAUUUUCAUCUUUUACAUUUCAUUUUCCAAAACUUUCCUUUAUUAAAAAAAAAAGAAAUCAUUUAUUACAAAUACACACAUCUGACAUUUCUACAUAAUUAUCCAAAUAAUAAAUACAUUUUUGACAAAUCAAAAUUUAAAUAUCCAGAAUGUUUAAAAUCUAGAAUGCACAAUACAAAAUACCCAAUAAGAAGAUUCACAUCAUCACGUACUCAAGCGCAUAAUCCUCGUCUAUCGUCAUUUAUUAUUAAUAACUACGAAGAAGUUUAAAAAACUUAAAUGGUUCUAGAUCGAUCGAUUCGAUAAAACGCGAUCACCCAGACACGUGCCUGCGUUCGCUCGCUUCACGGAUUUACGAGGCGAACGGGAUGACGGAAGUGGAUGGAACAACUGGUAGAGGAAGUCGUUCGACUCGCCUCGAUCAUGCGCGCGCUCUCAAUGUAACCUGCCCCAUUCAGGAUUCACUAUGCGUGCUGUGCAGAUGAAUUAACGACCGCCUCACCCUGAAGUCUGAUCGAUCCGACAAUUAGAUUCGAAAUUUUCGAAAAUCUCAGGCCUCCGUGCGUAAUACGUGCCUCUCGAUUUUUCGAGGUCGAUCGUUGCGAUAAUGAAAACGUCGUUCCCUGCGAAGGCAAAUUGUUAUUUUUAGAAGAGAACGAUGAUCCUGCGAUCUUUUCGUAUUUUUCUUCGUUUUUCCUCUCUUGAAUUUUAAUCGGUAUUUGCUUACUUCUGGAUCUCAAGGUGCUAAUGUCUCUCGCAAGUUCUGAUAAUAAUAAAAAAAAAAGAAUCGGGAAUUUUUAAUUUUUUUUUCUUUUCUAAAGAAACUUGUUAUUCCUUGUUUAAUAAAAUAGUAGUUCUACUUUAGUCAACGGGCAUUGAUGUGUCAGAUUUAAACUAUUUUAUAUUUGAUGUCAUGAAAAUAAAAUAUAGGUAUACGUAAUAAUGUUUCUAUCUCGAUAAAAUGUAUUAAUUUUGUAGAAAAAUUUUUAUGUUAUUUGUUUUUUCUUACGUUACGUAUUCAUUUGAUAGCUCGAUCUUAGAUAUCAAAAAUUUAAAAGAAUAAGAUGAUAAGAUAAAAGAUAAAUUGAGUUGUUAAACAUUUAAUGAAUGAAUAUCUGAUUUUUAUUUUAUGGACAUGUGUUAUGCUUUUUUUCUUUCUUUUUUUUUUUUUUCUAUACAUUAUGGUAGACUCUAUUGUAUUGAAUGCAUAAUAGUAGCGGCCUAGAUAGUCGUAGUCAAUAAUACCUGUUCACCUACCGUUACCGUGACGAAAGGAUUAAUAAAAGGCAGUAUUUAUAUUUACUUUUUUAGUAAAGUUGUUAACGUAGAAUACUUUUUUAGAACUUAUAUUUAAUUAAAAUUUUCGUUCUUUAAUUAUAAAUUAUUCUUCCAGUGGAUCACACUGAAUUGAAAUUACUCAAAAUUCAUCAAAGUUUCGUAAUUUCUUACUUCAUUUGAUUGCUAUUAAAAGGAGUGAAUAACGAUCAAAGUAGUUGCUCGAUUAAAUCAUCGAUUAUUAUACAAUAUAACGGAAUGAGUUACUGUAAAUAUAUGUUAAAAUUCCGCAAAGUUGAAUACAAUUUUAUCGUUUAAAUUCGUUUCGUAUUCUUUCUCCGUUCGAAUCGAUGUUUACAAUUCGAUCAGGUGUAAAACAAUUGCAGAGAGAUCGCUCUUUCUUAGAUCGACGUUGACGCAAUUUUUCAUCGAUCUGGAAGAAUUUCUAAUUUUAUGCUUCAGUUCAUAUUGAUAUGUUUAUGCAACGAUCACGAUCACGCAUAAUUAAACAAAUGGAAGAGAAGUUCAUUCGCCACUCCGAUACACAUUUUAUUUUAAAUUUCAAAAUAGGGAAAAUAAGAUACAGUGAUGAAUAAUUACGAGUAAAAUAAAAAGGAUCUAUGCUUUCAAGCAUUUUUAUCUAUCGUUUCUUUCGUUUCAAAUAUAAAACGAUCGAUUCUUCUGUAUAAUCAUUAGCGUUUUAUAUUUCAUUAUGAAAUAUAAUACGUAUAAUUUGUGAUAUUUUGUGCACAGCUUAAUUUCGAUGAAAUGAAAAGAAUUUACUUUUAAAGUCUCUAAUUUAUUCAAACCGCGAAAAGAUACUCGCGAUGAAAACAGAUCGAAGAUCGAGGAGAUAGAUAUCUAUGAGGAGCUGUUCAUCAGUUGCAAACGAAGGUUUCUGAGCGUGCUGGCGGCAUUUCGAAAAGCGGACGAAGGGAUUCCAGUAACACGACCGACCUUGCUGCCCGGGAAAUCGGCUGAAUAAUUCAAAACGUUCCAUUCAGAAACCGUCUAUGGCAUAUCUAAUUUUUUAUAUGCAAACGCUAGGUAACACAGAGGCGAAGCACAGAAGCUUGAGUUUCCUAUUCCCUUGUCUUUAUCGUGAUUGAAAUAUCAAGGCGUCGUUAUUUCAUUCGAAAUCGACAAUCUAAUCUGAUCAAGAGGCGAUCUCUGAAAAAGAUCUCGAGUUUCAGGAAGCAUUACCACUUCGUUAGAAGGAUUCUUAUUAGACGUAUUUUGUCAUUUUAGCGUUCGAACGUUGCAUAAAACAUAUAAUGAUGGAUAAUAUCAUUGUUAACUAAUCGAAUCAUUAUUUUAAAAAAAGUCACAAUUUCUCAUAAAGAAUUUUCAUCAAGAAUAAAAAUUUAAUUGCUCUUGCAUAAAUAUGUAUACAGAUUAUUAACUUGAUCUGUUCGGAUAAAACGUAAUGUUUUUAGAUCCGUAGAGUGAAAAAAAGGAAGAAGUUACACAUAAAAAUUUCAUGACCAAGUUUCUUAAAAAAUUCUUCUUCAAAAAUAAUUCGACUUUCUUUAAUCCCACUUCAUUUUCUUUAUUUUGCAAAUUGCAACCACAGUCACGAUAACAACAAAAAUCGCAUUAAAUAUUUAACAUAAUCCCUCCGUAAAACGAAAAACAUCCGACUACCGAAUCGGCCGCGCGGUACACGUGUGCCGAUCAUGCUGAACGCACGUUGGAAAACAAACGAAAGAGGAGGUCUCGACGCCACUUUUGAGCACGUUCGUUUCGUGUAUUCCAGUUCGCGGUGAGAUUUGUAUUUAACGCGGUGUCGAACGGAAUAACGAUCAUCGGAGGAAAACAACCGCGAGAAGAUUCAUGUUCGACACGCGCGUGGCCGGUGAAUAGAUGCUCGUCCAUCCAAAAAGAAUAAAAUAAAAAAAAAAAAGUGGAAAACGAACAGCGAACGCGCAUUCCCGCAUAAAUGCAUUCGAACGUGGCACGCCUCGGUGUAGAGGGCGCGAGAGAUAUAUCGGAAUGCGGCACGCUUGUUGCCAUUUUUCUUUCAUCUGGCCCGCUGUCGUUACGUCGAAACGCGACGAAGAUUCGGGGAAGAGGUUUGGUAGCCGAUGAUUUCUGUUUGGUAAUAGCAUAUACGUCUUGUAUUAUGCAUUAUGGUUUUGAAGAUGAGCUGUUCCUUUCGUGGGGCGGCUUGGAUUCAAAUGAUAUUUGAUCAAAGCCUCGUUCACGUCCCUUGAAUAAUUUGUGGCAAAUUGAGUUUGAAGUAUCAGUUGAAAUAUUUUCUUUUUUUUUCGAGUGAAAGAAAGUGAUUCGUUAUUAUUAUUAUUCGUUUGAUAAAUGAAAAUGAUUUAGGAGAACGUUUUGGAAUCCAAACGUUGUGGAAAAAUAUUCGUAUAAGUAGGAUCGUGUAGGGAUUACGUUUUUGAUAUAGAUUAGGUGUUCAUGAUUCGUCACAACUCAUAAGCUUAUUCAUCUGACGAUCAUAAACGGAAAUUAACGUUUCAUGACAAUGUGCUGUUCUUUGACCACGCGUUCUAUGACAAGAAAAUUAAAUGGUUGUAAAGGAUCGCAGGUGUUUCUACUUUUAACGAAAACUAUUUGUGGAAUCUACGAUUUAUCACAUGGCAGGAAAAUUUUCCCGAUCGAAGUUGAAAGUUAUCCAAGAUUUACUUUUAUGCUUAACAUUCAGUAAAAUAUUCAGAGGUCAGGAAGAAUUUCCUCAAGAAUUCCUAUUCUUACCUUCGUUUAAUUUAACGUUUCAACAAUCUUCGUGUUUCUUCGUCACUCUUCCAUCUAAAAAUUAUUGUACAUUCAUAUUUGUAUCGUAUGAAUUCAUAUUUAUCGAUUUAUUCAAUUAUAAUAAGUCAAAAUUUCGUCGAAAAAUUAUUCGAUUCGUUUCGUAAUCGUCAAAUAAUAAAUUUUACAGUUUCAGAUUAUACAAUUACGAUCUUCCUCCUUACCCCUGCACACAGUAUACCAUUUUAACCCAUAAGAUCCACCAGCCUGGUCCCCACCUCGUACGAGAUAACCUUCCCCCAUCCAAAGUAGCCAAACACCCAUAAACCGAUUAACCGAAUCGUUCCGAAUCAUCCAUUUACCAUCAAUUCAAGUCAUCGCCCUUGAUUUAUGCAUCCUGUGCACCCGAUGGACACGUCGUUUAAUCGGUAUGACGGCAAGGUGUAAACCUCUCCCCUUUGUAUUUCGUUUUUUACGACCGAUACCCGAUCGGCACCGCCGCGAAUGGAGUUAGUAUCACGGAGAAAUGGCCUGUUCGAUGCGUUUAAACGACGGGCUGUGGCCAUAUAAUCCGUGCAUCAUUCGCGAAGGGAAGAAGCGGAGGACGAGGAUUGCCUGGCCAUGGGCAAGUUCACUGAUCCCAGUGUGUCGCGUUCGAAACGUGCCACGCGGAGACACGAUGGAUAUGUGUAUAUACACACGCUCGAUUCGUGGCCACGCUUGUGGCGAGAGUGAGUUGAGAGAGAGAGAGAGAGGAGGAGGAGAGAGAUUGGAGGAGAAAUAAAAAGGAGAAAGAAAGAAAAAAAAAAGGAAAAAAAAGAAGGAAUAAGAGAGACGCGAACUCGCUCUUACACCGUGAACAUGGCCAUGACGUGAAAGCAAAAGAAGGCAUGCGUUACAUCCGAGCGAUACGUUCCCCUCGGCUGCUGAAUGUCAAUGCUUUAGGGCGCUUCUUGGAAUUCAGGCGAAAAAUCGAUGAUCCCUAGCCUGACCGAGCCGAUAACGAAACUCUUGAACCGCGAUCGUUCACCUUUUUCGUCCCGGCCGAAGCAGACCGAUUUCUCCUCCCCGAGUUCGGCUGAAUUUUCAACUUUUAUUUUUUCAGGCGUAUGCUGUUGUGUGUGUUCGUUGUUGGGAUCGUUUCAGAGAUCCUCGGCGGGGGGAUUUGGGAAUAUUAUAAUCGAGAGCAUGUUGAUGGAUUCUUUUAUUAGCGAGGUUUGCAGGAUUGCGGCCUUGAACUUAGAAAUUAUUUUCGAUUCUCCCUCUUAGUCACAAGUUUACUAUAAUAAUAGUAAGAACUGGUCAUCUCGAUGCAUGCAAAUUGGAAUAAUUGAUGCGUGAAUAAAUUUGGAUUCUUAUGACUGAACGAUAAAUUAUUAAUCAAAUAAUAUCUUUAAUAUCUGUCUUUAUAUUUACCAAAAAAUACUUGAUUUUAUAAUGACAACGAAUCCUUGAGAUUAUUGAAAUACUCGUCAUAGCAAUAUUUUUAAACUUAUGGAUAUAGGAAUAAUUCAAAAAAAUAUAAACUUUUUAGAGGACGAGAUAUUUGAAACCUUCGUUGUUAAAACAAUAAAAAUAUAUAUAUAUAUAUAAUUCUACAAUGAAUAUAUUAAAUUUGUUUGGACAAAAAUAUGUUGUCUUUACUUCAUUUUGAAUUAUUCUUUUUAUGCAUAUAUUUUAUUUUUCCAUUUUAUCAAUGAGAUAAAUUAUUAUAUAAUUGGCAUUUCUAAUCCAAUCAAACGAACAAACGUAUAUUCCUAUAUUCUCCUCCUAAGAAACGUAGUGCUCAAAAAUCUCAAGCCAAUAAUUACAAGUCUGAUUACCACAACACUAAUUAAUAUCCCUCGCAAUUAAGCAAUAUUGUUUUCCACGAAAUAACGCCUGUGUCUUGGACUCUGCCAUAAACUCCAUCAGGCUUGCACGUGCUCCAGCUACUCUCGCGAAGCCUGUAUUUAUGUAGACAACUAUUUACACCGGCCAAGGUAAAGCACGAUGAUUGUACGGGAAUUCACGGUACAUAUGCUUCACGAGCGGGCAAACAACGAGCGGUCGAGAGGCAACCGAGGUACAAGUGGGAUUAUUAAUUGCAGACAUCUUGUCGCCCCAUCGUCGUGUCUAUCGAGGAUGAAGAGAACGAGAGAAAGAGAAAAAAAAAGAAAAAUUUUUCUUCCUCGAGUGCACUAUCGCGCUACGGCUAACUGUUUGCUCUCCGUCCGGAGAGGCCAGAUCUUUGUCGCGUCUAGUGAUUUUCUCGUCGGCAGAAAGACGAGAAGCGCGAGGAUUUCUUCUCGUCGCACGGGACAAAAAGGACCUUGGAAUCCUGGGGCCCGGUGUCACCGACAUUCCCACAGGAGUCAUCCUAUUAUAUUUAAAUUGAGCAAGCGUGCCUUACGCCCAUAUAUACGGCUCGACGUCUCGUGUGUAUGCGAGCACGUGAGCAAGUAAACGGCGACGGGUCAGAGCCACCGGCAAGCCCACUCCACGCGAAUCUCCCUUCGAUUUUUCUUUCUUUCUUCGACUAAGGAUGAACACUUUCGUUUGUCACCGCGGCUGAUCCAUCCGAUCGCCGGAAGUUAGACGUGUCUGCGGCUAAUAUUUAUGCUAAGUAGCGGUAUAAUCAGCUGACGGAAUAAUUUUUGUUUUGGUCCCUCGAGAGAGUCUAAAUAAAUUGCUGGAUCUCUUUUUCUCAAAAUAGGUUGAAUGGAUGAAUGUUAUAAUUUAAAGGAAUCGAAUGAAAUUUUAUAUGUAAGAAUUAUGGAUGAAAAAUGUUGAUUGAAAUGUAUGUUUAUAUUCAAGAGGAGCGAGAAAGAUACGAAAUAAUUCAAGGAGUAUUAGGAAAAGGAAUUAAUUUUGUUUAUUUUCAAUUAAUAUUUAAAUUUUUGAUCGAUUUUUUUUUAGAUACUUUUGCGUUCAAUGUUUAAAAAAAUAAAUAGGAAUAAUUUGUAUUUUUGAAUGCUUUUUUUUUUAUUACAUAUUAAGUAGCGGAAGUUCAUAGGAAUUUCUAGGCAUGUUUUUAAAAAUAUUUUAUGAUUAUUAAAUGUUUUGGUAUCGUAAUCUCAUGUGUAAUUUUCUAGUUGAUAUUUCAACUUCUAUAUUAAACAUAAUAAUGAACCUUGGGAAAAGCAAUGAUUGAAUGCAAAAUACACUACGUAUGAUGAAUACUUAUCAAAAAAAAAAAAAAAAAAAAAUGAAACAUUUUAAUUAAAUCUGUCUUGUAUUUCGAAGGAUUGAAAGUAUAUUAAAUUUAUAUAAAAAUAUUAUUUAUAUAAAUUAUUAUAUAUUUAAAAGGAGGUAGGAUGAAUUGUCAAAUCGAAGAUGAUGUUGUAUCAUUCUGGCUUAAAUAUUAAAAAUAAAGAUAACAUUUAUACUUCAAUAUAGAAAAUAUUUACGUCUAACAACAGUACACAGAGGCAGAACAUUAAAUUAUACUUUUAUUAUAUUCAUAAAAAUUAAAAUGUACACACCUUAUUGUUUAAGUCAUACUCGUAUUAGCUUCUAUGUAAGUAUCGCAGUAUGUAUAAUAUUUAACAAUAGAGGUAUAGGUACUCUCUCGAGACGAGAUGAGCUUACGAAAAGAAUACAUGAAUUUUUUUUUUAUCCUUGGGGUGAUACGGUAUUUUGUAGCUUACUUCCGAUAAUUAUUAAUAUUAUUGACUGCUUACAAAAUAAUACUAUUACACAAUAAGUCAUCUCUCGGUUUACGACACAGUUCCGGUGUGAUUCCAUUAAUUUAAUUAUCGUUUCAGCCCUCAGAUGGCCCUACGAGAUCGGAAAAAAGUAGUACAAUAUAGUCCGUCUCUGACAAUAAAUAGGGGAUACCGCGCGAUUCCGCUACAAGUCCGCUACUAAAGAAAACAAAGAAUGAUUAGCUUUUUUUUUCCUUUCGAAGAAAUUACAUGGAAUAUAUCUCCUACCUAUAUUUUUUUUUUAAUGUAUCAUAUUUUUUUUUUUUUUUUUUUGCUUUUCUUACUUAUCUUUCUUCACCGCUAAGCACGUCGUGCCACUAGUGCGUACGCCUGCGAUCGGAUGUGUAUGUGCGUGUGUAAUACGUAACGUGAUCGUUAUGUGUAUAAUAAAGAUGUUCGUUAAAAGUUAACGUUGAAAAAUAUGCCCGCAAAAUAGAGAAAAACCUUUGCUCGAUCGAAGCCUGUAUAAUAAUAAAAUCGUCAAGCGUGUGAGGCUAAUAAGAUGUGGAACUAGAUAUUGAAAGAAAUGAGGUGAAAAAUUCAUUCGAUUGCGAUAAUUUUUGUUACCUACGUUCCAGUUGAAAAAGAUUGCGAUGAUAAUAAAAAUGAGUUUGUAUAGAGCGACGACAAAACUUCCAUAAAAGCACGUACGUCGUAUGUAAUGCGAUCUUGUUUCCUUUUUCUCGUUUUAUUUUUAUCGCGUGUCGAUCCUGUUUUGUUUAAUGUCCACGAGUGAGCAAGUGUGGGAAACGAACACACUAUGCUUGAAAAGCAUUCUCCGUGCAACGAGCACAGUAGCACCAGCGCGCGUGAAAAAGGUACGAUGCUAAUUUGAUCGCUAACUAUCGUCUAAAGUAAUGGAAUUUGAAUCUUCGCCGAGAUGUCGACGUGUUAAUUAUUCACUAUAUGCGUAACACGAAAUAAAAGUCGCCUAAGCGCCUCUGAUUUAUCUUACUUCUAUUUUUUUUUUUACAUUCCCGGUUUCGAUCACCGCUUCGAUCACGAUUGCAAUCACACCCUUAUCAAUUUGUCCACGUUAUUGAAAUAUAUACAUCGUGUGUAUUUUUCCAACAACUUUUCCGCGUUUCAAUUCCCUUUAAUUAUGAUCUUUCAAUUGUAAAAAAUACGCGAUCAUACAGAAGAUGAUUCACGAUACUUUUCAUUUUUGAUUGAGCAAUCGAGGUUAGGAUUUUGACGUUUGAUUCGAUACAUCAUAUCGAUUUAUAUGUACGCUAUUCGAUUUCGGAUGUAUCGAUUUAUUUGAUAGUAAUGGAGCGUCUCUUUCGUGACGCGUUUUUUUUUUUUUGAGCUUUUCAAUUUUUAUGGGAAUUGAUUUGAAAAGUUUUUGAAAUUCGAGUGAUUUGAGUGUUUUAAUUUUAAAUAAAAGUAAUGACUUUUGAUUAGUGUGCUCUUGCAAACGCGAUCGAAGCAAUAUCGUUACAAUAUCAAGACGAUUCAAGUUCAAUUGCUCGAUGUUCUUUGCUAUUUUGCAUUGAAUAUCAAUUAUUACGAGGUAUAAUUAUUAUUUGAGAAAAUUUUACAAUAGAAUUACUUGUUUUAUUAAUUACUUGUUUAAGAUGCAUAUAUUUCUGAUAAGUUGUUUUAUAAAUAUUUAGUGGAAUAACACUUUUUCGAUAUUAUUUAAAAUACAUGCAUAUAUUCAAAAUUCUGUUAAUAUUAUUACUUUGAUUCUUUUCUUUUCUUAGUUUUUGAUUUCAAUUCUCAAUCAGAUGUUAAUUAAAUAUUUUUUAAAUCUUAAUUAAUAAAAAAAAUUGGAAAUUUUUAAACUAUUAAAAUAAUCUGAUAAAGUACAUAAUAUAUCAACAUGUUAAUGUUGCAUUCAUAUUUACUAGAAAAAUGUUAAUUGUAAAAUUAGUUUAAAUUAAUAUUAAUAAAUUAUAUAUAAAAUAAACCAUACUCAACAAUAGAUUCAUUGAAUAGAUUAUUUAUAUUCAUCUAUCUAUUUUUGAUUCUAUUUUAUCUAUUUUAUCAAUCUUGUAUAUUACGUAAUAUACAAGUAAAUUUCUACAAUUGUACAUGAGAUAUUCGUUGAAAAAGUUAAUAUUCACUUUGUUCUGUCAUUUCUAUAUACGACGUUACAUCAAAAGUAGGAAAGUAGAAAUAAAAAAAAAAAAAAAUAACGGAACACGAUUAAAGUGAAAAUGUUCAAAUGAUUUGAUCACGCGAACAUCGUAAUGGAAACACAAAAUGGCAGAACAUCCCGCGAAUCGUCCUUGUAUCGUCCCACAGUCUUACAUAAGACUUCAUCCGAAUAGAUAUCAGUUGAAUGGGAAUUGAUUCUAAACACGUUUUCUGCCUUUAAUCACGCAAUGCAAAAAUAGGCUUUCCUAUUUCCGGUUACCUAGUACCGGAGCGAAUGACACAGCGAUCUACGGAUCUACAGAGAAUUCCCAAAAUUCUUACAAUCUAGUAUCAAUCAUUUUUUUUUUUCUUAUUAACUUUUCUCGUUUUAUUCGUCCGAAGAAGUUGUUCUAUAUUAUUACAAGGCGAAUCCUCGAUCGAUUGGAGUAAACGUAUUCCAAAAUUUUUCUUUUUGAAUUUUUUGACCGCCAGCGAUCAAUUCGAAUUCAAUCAAUUGAAUAUAAAAUAAUAAUCUCUUUUUAAAUACUUUUUAUAACAUUGUGAAUUUUUAAAUUUAAAUAACCGAGUAGUAUAAUCGGAUUUUAGAACGGUUUAAGAAUAUCAAGUCUCAAUAUUUGAUCAAUAUCGAGUAUCGUUAUAUUUGAAAAUACAUUAUUCGCGAUAUUAUGAACAUUGAAUAGUUCUCUUAAGUACUCUUGAAUAUUAAAUACCGGUAUUUAAUAUGUUAGAUCAUUGAGUACGAAUAUUUAAAUAUUUCUCAGUACUAAAUACCAGUAUUAAAGUAUCAUAGAAUAAUAAAUAUCAAUAUUUGAGCACUUUUGAACUAGUAUUUGAUAUUUCAGUGAAUAUUUAACUUUUCGAUGUAAUAAAUAACGCUCAUUACAUGGAGCGCUAAUAUCUAAAUAGGAAUUAUCCUCGUACAAAUUAUGAAUAAACAUAUCGUAGUUAAAAAAUAAAAUCGUAGAAAUUGUUUUCUAUCAAACAAAUAAGAACGGAAUACGUCGUUCCAUGGAUCGAGUAUUCAAAAAGGUACAAUGAACGAAAAUUACACGGUCGACAAUUCUAUUUGGUCGCACCAACUAUAGAUUGAUUCGAUUGCAAUGUAUAGUGUCGGCCUCGGUAUCGCUGGUAUAACAACAAUCGAAGGGGAUGAUGAUGAUGAGGAAAAAUGGAGGGAUAAAGGGUAGAAGGAAUUUAUCUGUGAAGCUGGUGCACAUCGUAUCUAUAAUUUUCUUACAAUACUGUGUCGAUAAACGUCUAAGUACCGGUGUGUGUCUGAUGGUUUUCUUUUUGCGCACAUACCUUUUUUUAUCUUUUGUUAUUUGCUCUUUUUUUUUUACACAUUACAUUAAAAUAUAACACCAAUCUCGAUUCGCUUACGUUAUACAUAUAUAUAUACGUGAGUUCUUAUUUUUUUUGUAUUUUUUUUUUGUUUUUUAUUCGUUUCUUUUAAUGUAUUCAGCGAUGAUCGUUCGAACAGUCUCUCACCGUCAAGCGUUUAGAAGAGUUCCGAAUUCAAUAUUAACAUGUUCGCACUUCGCGUUUAUUAAUUGACGACACUGGAAAAUGCAGGCUUCGCGGAUAGCAAUUAAGAUAAGUAGGAAAGUCUCUGUGUAAUUAAUUAUUGAGUAGUAACAUAAUUAAAAAAAAAUUGUUUGUUUAUGUUAUUUUAAUUAUAACAAUCCAUUUCAUUAAUAAUAAAAUUAUUAAUAAAAAUAUUUUGUUAUAUUUUUACCGAUGAAAUCAUUUUUUUAUUUAUAUUUGAUUAAUAAUUUAUAGAGUUUUUCAAUCAACUCAACCAAAUUCUUAAUAAUUUUUUUCAUAUUUAUUUUGGAAUAUUUUUUUUUCCCCAAUUAUUUCUGAAGUAAGACAUAUAAAUUAUUAUUUUGAAAUUUAUAUUGUAAGAUAAAUAAAUAUUAUUUUAAUAGGUGAAUUUUUCAUACGUUACUACACAAUAUUUUUCAAUACGCUGUAAAGAUUUUUCUAAAAAAUUAUUGUGCUGUCAGUUUCGUGCUAAUUUUCUUGGAAAAGAAAAAAAUUGAAAGAUUUCCAAUUUCUUUUUUUACUGUUAUCCUUUAACGUUUCAACUAUUUAGUGGAUGGUUGUUGUACAAUUCUUUGAAAUUUGUAAACGCGAAUAAUCUUACUUUAAGAUAAUCGUGUAUUAAAGUACUUGUAAUCAAUAUAUUUUUUUAUUAUAUAAACAAUCGUAUGUAAAAAAAUUUAAAGAUUUUGAUUACAAUAAAAUCUUUAAUAAAUUAUAAAUAUUCAAUUAUCAAGAAUUCUAUCAUUUAGUUUAUCUAAUAAUUUCCAAGUCAAAUUGCAUUACAGAGAAUUAAAUUUUUUAAAAUUCUUUUUUUUUUACAUAUUUCAAGUCAGCAUACUCAAACCUUGUCACAACUUAACUUAAAGAACUUAAUCAAUAAUAUAAUUUUGAUUGCACAAGUACUUAAAUACCUUUCCUACUCACGUUUCACAAAAAUGGCCCACGCUCUUUAAAUCAUCGCACACGUUCACCAUUCUCUCACGAAAUUUCCAAAUAAUGAUUAUCAGAAAUAUUUUUGGAGCGUAUGCAAGAGCGAACAUUGCUGAGAUAUCACAGCCACAAUGGCUGGUUUUUUUGCGAUGGAUGCGUAAAAUGGUACCUUAAAUCGGUCGUAAUGCAUCGGCAGCAGUGCGGAGGAUAGAAAAACGAGGGAGCAGCGUAAAACGGCAAAAGAUUAAGUCUUCACAGCCUUUCAUAUAGUUAAGAGAAUCGAUUAGAUAUUACAGAGCAUUUUAUUUUUUACGGUUCGUUUUUUAUAUUUUUAUUAUUAUUUUUUUUAAUACUCUCGAAAAAAUGGACCCGUGCGACCCUUUGUUUCAACUUGUUUUUUUAUUUUAUUUUAUUUACUUUGUGUCUUCCUCUUGUUUUCUCUCUUCCUUUCUUCUUCUUGUUCUUCUUCUUCUUCUUCUUCUUCUUUUUUUCUCCUGUUUUUUUUUAUCGUUUUUAAUUAAUUUUUCUUCUGGAACUUAGACCGUGUGUUUCUUGUGUGUUUUGUAUUUUGUGGCUGUAGCACUUGCUCGGAUAAAAGGGGGGGGAUAAUGUUAAACUCGGAAGUCUUCCAGAGACAUUCGUAAAACCGAUUGGUCGAAAAUAUUAUUCUAGAAUCCGUUUAGGGUAUAAAGUGUAAUUGUGAACGAUUAUCAUAUUAGAUAAUUAUAACGAUAAAAAUGGACAUUGUCUUAUCGUGGGAUGGAAUAGGCUGUGUAAGCUCCGUCGAUGCUAAAUGCUCCACUGUGUGUUAUUGUAAACGUAAUGAGAAAGAAACAAAAGGCAUAAAAAAGAAGGAAAAUAUGUAUGUACAAUUUAUAACUUUUACAAUAAAACAAUUAUAAGAUACUUAUAAAUAAAAUCGGAGAUUUUACAAUUGUUGUUUAAACAAAAAUUUCAUGUUUCACUGUAUCGAUAAAAUAUAAAUAAAGAAACAAAAAAAAAAAAAAAAAGAAAAGAAAAAAAACAAAAAAUAUAAUGCAUCGCGUCUAAAAUGAAAAUUAUUUUGUUAACCGUAUGCCAGACAGGCAUGUAGCAUCACUGUGACAUUUAUGAGUCUUAAAUUUUCUUUCAUCUUUAAUAAUCUUGAAUUACCAAAAAAUGGACAGAGAUACCUUCGUUCGCGGCGUUUCCUUUUCGUGUAAAUUUUGUCUUUAUUUCUUUUAUAAUUUAUAACUUGUAAUAUUCUCUCUCUCUCUCUCUCUCUCUCUCUCUCUUUCUCUCUCUCUCUGUCUCUCUCUCUUAUAAUCGCUCGCAAGUACACGAAAUCAAGUCUCUCUUAAUAAAUCAACCACUGUUUUCAGGAAACGUCGCGUCGUAGGCGAGUUUUAUUAUUUAUAUUCAAUAAAUAUUACAUAUACAGUAAUAUGUUCAUUAUUGAUAUAGUAUUUAGUAUUGUUCUAAUUGGACAGAAGUUGUUGUUCAUGUUGUUGUGAUUAUUUGGUUGCUGUUGUUCACAAUUUGGGCGAAUUUUCCUUUCUCUCAUUCCUCCACGGUUAUCAUCUUAAUCGUUCAUUGCUUCUUUCAUUCAACGUUCAUUUCUUCGAUUCACAUCUUUAACCAUUUUUUCUUCCUUUAUACUAUAUUCUCCUCUUCUCUUCGUAUCCUUUUUUUUUUGCACUCCGCACAAUCUAUCUUGUAAAUUAAAAAAAAUAUGCGAUACCGCCAUUUGAUUUUUCUCUUAUACACGACACCUUUAUUAAUCGUCACUUAUUACCUUUUUUUCGCACAGUCCUUUUUUUACCUUCUUCCUCCUCUUCCUUUUCUUCUUCUUCUUUUUUUUUUUUUUUUAUCUAAACGAAUAUAUCGUAGAUUUAUUUAUUUAUUUUUUUCGUCGAACAAGAAAUCAGUAUCGUCAUCGUCGUACUGAGCAAAAAUCACGUUUUGAAAUCGUAUCAAAUAUAUAUAUGUAUAUUAUUAGAGUUAUAUCGCGGUGAAAAAUUUUAACCCAAGAGGAGAAAAGUGCAGAAUCGAAAUCGUGAUAAAUCGUGGAAAAACCACGAUUGGAAAAAACAGAGAAAGAAAGAAAUAACGUCGAAUCAACACGGUUAUAUGCAAAUUCAAAAUACAAUGAAGCAAGCUCGUAUUAUUAUUGUUAUUAUUAUUAUUAUUAUUUUUUCCAUUUUCUUUAAUAUUCGAUCUCUAUUAUCUAAAACUUACGAACCUAAUAUUGCGAUCCUAAUGUGAUCGUGUUGCACUCGAAUAAAAUACACAACUGGCCCGGCGAGUUAAUUUGUGAUAAAUAAAAACGAGGGUCAGUGUGAAUUUCCUUUCCUUUCCUUUUUUUUUUCUUUUUUCCUUUUUUUUUUCCCCCAUUUAAUUUCUAUGAUAUCGUGCAACACGGCACGAUUUUCUUCCAUACAUUUUGCGCUUUCAUAUAAAUUAAUCGCGUGUCAUGUUCGCGUUAACAAACGUAAUGCUGGACAGAGGACAAUAAUUGUAUGUUACAAUAAAAAGGAACUUAACAGAUUGCGCUAAAAAAAUACAAUAUAUAUAUGAAACAAUUGUAUACAUAUAAAAUCUUUAAAUAAUCUACGCAACGCGGUAAAUUCGUGUUUCGAGAAAAGAAUUCUUCUUUUUUUAAAUUAUUCUUUAUAUCCAUCCUGUAUUUAUUUAUUUAUUUAUUUAUUUAUUCUUCCAUUGGUUACUUCUCCGACAUUCAAAAUUACCACCUGGUAAUUUUGGAGAGUGUCUUUUUUUCCCCCCCGUAUAUUUCUAUGUAUAUGUUAUAUCAGCAAUUUUUU
Molecule: long non-coding RNA, 25904 nt
Organism: Apis cerana (Asiatic honeybee)
Lineage: Eukaryota; Metazoa; Arthropoda; Insecta; Hymenoptera; Apidae
Source: RefSeq, a predicted model, not a curated record